Molecule: ribosomal RNA, 254 nt
Filed under: uncultured bacterium
Lineage: Bacteria
Description: partial 16S ribosomal RNA
Rfam family: Bacterial small subunit ribosomal RNA
Source: RNAcentral
UACGGGGGGAGCAAGCGUUGUUCGGAUUUACUGGGCGUAAAGGGCGCGUAGGCGGUCAGCACAAGUCAGUUGUGAAAUCUCCGGGCUUAACUCGGAAAGGUCAACUGAUACUGUGCGACUAGAGUGCAGAAGGGGCAACUGGAAUUCUCGGUGUAGCGGUGAAAUGCGUAGAUAUCUGGAGGAACACCGGUGGCGAAGGCGGGUCUCUGGGCCGAUACUGACGCUGAGGAGCGAAAGCGUGGGGAGCGAACAGG